ACGCUGCUGCUUUUUUUUUUCCGGGUUCGGAGCCAUUCCGGAUGCUUUAGGCUGCCGGAUGUCUGAUCUCCGGAUAACUGAGGCGUUUCUGUACAUGGAUUAUCUGUGUUUUCGAGCGCUUUGCUGCAAGGGACCACCACCUGCGCGCCCUGAAUAUGACUUGGUUUGCAUAGGCCUCACGGGCUCCGGGAAGACCAGUCUGUUGUCCAAGCUCUGCAGCGAAAGCCCGGAGAACGUUGUGUCGACCACAGGUUUUAGUAUAAAGGCAGUGCCACUCCAGAAUGCCGUUUUGAAUGUAAAAGAACUUGGAGGAGCUGACAAUAUCCGGAAAUACUGGAGCCGCUACUACCAAGGAUCUCAAGGGGUAAUAUUCGUAUUAGACAGCGCCUCUUCAGAGGAUGACUUAGAAACUGCUAGGAAUGAACUGCACUCCGCUCUCCAGCACCCACAGCUAUGCACUUUACCCUUUUUGAUAUUGGCCAAUCAUCAAGACAAGCCAGCAGCUCGCUCAGUACAAGAGAUCAAAAAGUAUUUUGAACUUGAACCACUGGCACGUGGAAAGCGCUGGAUUCUGCAGCCCUGCUCUCUGGAUGAUGUGGACACACUGAAGGACAGCUUCUCUCAGCUCAUAAACUUGUUAGAAGAAAAAGACCACGAGGCGAUGAGAAUGAGAGACCCAACACAGAAGUUCCGGGAAAGCCUCGAAUCCACCGCGUUCGUUCCCCAUCCUGAUUCCAUCGUUGGUAUCGAGACUGGCCCGGCUUCAGCAUCUACUUGCCUCUAG
Mus pahari (shrew mouse) is the source of this 784-nucleotide RNA transcript. It is a transcript of the gene named ADP-ribosylation factor-like protein 15 pseudogene, with no coding region annotated. The record is from RefSeq and is a predicted model, not a curated record. Lineage: Eukaryota; Metazoa; Chordata; Mammalia; Rodentia; Muridae. The transcript has a single exon.